GAUCAAUCAAAUCGCAGAAAAUAUUGAAAGCUGUUCUCUCAUCACUGAUUACGUUUUUAAUUCACCAAAAAAAUGUCGAGAGUUUUAUUUUUGGUACUUCUGAUAGCACUGAUAGCUGUUGGCAUAACUACUGCUUGUUUACAAGUUGGUGAUGAAUGUCACGAAUCCAAUGACUGUUGCAACCGUCGAUGCGGGUCAAAUGAGUUUGGAGACAGACACUGUUAUCCAGAUGAUGGAUCUGAUUUCUAAAUCUACAAAUCCGUAAAAUGUUGUAGUUAUUAUACACAACAGUAUAAUAUAUUUAUUAUACUAUCCUGAAAAAAUAUAUACAUAUUUCUUUACAUUUAUUAAAAAUCUUUUAGUAUAUAAUUUGAAUUUAAAAAUUUUGAACAUCCUGAGAUAAGUC
Long non-coding RNA from Microplitis demolitor, 406 nucleotides. RefSeq lists it as uncharacterized. Lineage: Eukaryota; Metazoa; Arthropoda; Insecta; Hymenoptera; Braconidae. The transcript has 3 exons. The record is from RefSeq and is a predicted model, not a curated record.